UGAGGUCAGGCAAGAACACC
This 20-nucleotide ribosomal RNA is filed under the name Trebouxia jamesii. RNAcentral's name for it is "partial 26S ribosomal RNA". RNAcentral also lists the same sequence under 1 other name. The record is from RNAcentral. Lineage: Eukaryota; Viridiplantae; Chlorophyta; Trebouxiophyceae; Trebouxiales; Trebouxiaceae.